GAAAUGCGAUAAGUAAUGUGAAUUGCAGAAUUCAGUGAAUCAUCGAAUCUUUGAACGCACAUUGCGCCCCCUGGUAUUCCGGGGGGCAUGCCUGUUCGAGCGUCAUUUCACCACUCAAGCCUCGCUUGGUAUUGGGCGACGCGGUCCGCCGCGCGCCUCAAAUCGACCGGCUGGGUCUUUCGUCCCCUCAGCGUUGUGGAAACUAUUCGCUAAAGGGUGCCGCGGGAGGCCACGCCGUAAAACAACCCCAUUUCUAAGGUUGACCUCGGAUCGGGUAGGGAUACCCGCUGAACUUAGGC
RNAcentral lists this unclassified non-coding RNA (299 nucleotides) under plant metagenome. Its description in RNAcentral is "partial contains 5.8S ribosomal RNA, internal transcribed spacer 2, and large subunit ribosomal RNA". The stretch from base 1 to 105 matches the Rfam family "5.8S ribosomal RNA", at positions 50 to 154 of the family's 154-position model. The record is from RNAcentral.